RNAcentral lists this microRNA precursor (63 nucleotides) under Lottia gigantea (owl limpet). RNAcentral describes it as "Lgi-Mir-750_pre stem-loop". The record is from RNAcentral. Lineage: Eukaryota; Metazoa; Mollusca; Gastropoda; Lottiidae.
CGUUGGAAGAUUCGACCUUGACAUUGUUCCAUAGAAUUUGUCAGAUCUAACUCUUCCAGCUCA